GGGACACGUGGUAUCCUGUCUGAAUAUGGGGGGACCAUCCUCCAAGGCUAAAUACUCCUGACUGACCGAUAGUGAACCAGUACCGUGAGGGAAAGGCGAAAAGAACCCCGGCGAGGGGAGUGAAAAAGAACCUGAAACCGUGUACGUACAAGCAGUGGGAGCACGCUUAGGCGUGUGACUGCGUACCUUUUGUAUAAUGGGUCAGCGACUUAUAUUCUGUAGCAAGGUUAACCGAAUAGGGGAGCCGAAGGGAAACCGAGUCUUAACUGGGCGUUAAGUUGCAGGGUAUAGACCCGAAACCCGGUGAUCUAGCCAUGGGCAGGUUGAAGGUUGGGUAACACUAACUGGAGGACCGAACCGACUAAUGUUGAAAAAUUAGCGGAUGACUUGUGGCUGGGGGUGAAAGGCCAAUCAAACCGGGAGAUAGCUGGUUCUCCCCGAAAGCUAUUUAGGUAGCGCCUCGUGAAUUCAUCUCCGGGGGUAGAGCACUGUUUCGGCAAGGGGGUCAUCCCGACUUACCAACCCGAUGCAAACUGCGAAUACCGGAGAAUGUUAUCACGGGAGACACACGGCGGGUGCUAACGUCCGUCGUGAAGAGGGAAACAACCCAGACCGCCAGCUAAGGUCCCAAAGUCAUGGUUAAGUGGGAAACGAUGUGGGAAGGCCCAGACAGCCAGGAUGUUGGCUUAGAAGCAGCCAUCAUUUAAAGAAAGCGUAAUAGCUCACUGGUCGAGUCGGCCUGCGCGGAAGAUGUAACGGGGCUAAACCAUGCACCGAAGCUGCGGCAGCGACGCUUAUGCGUUGUUGGGUAGGGGAGCGUUCUGUAAGCCUGUGAAGGUGUGCUGUGAGGCAUGCUGGAGGUAUCAGAAGUGCGAAUGCUGACAUAAGUAACGAUAAAGCGGGUGAAAAGCCCGCUCGCCGGAAGACCAAGGGU
Molecule: ribosomal RNA, 934 nt
Filed under: Escherichia coli
Lineage: Bacteria; Pseudomonadati; Pseudomonadota; Gammaproteobacteria; Enterobacterales; Enterobacteriaceae
Description: partial 23S ribosomal RNA
Rfam family: Bacterial large subunit ribosomal RNA
Source: RNAcentral